RNAcentral lists this ribosomal RNA (3274 nucleotides) under Triticum aestivum (bread wheat). Its description in RNAcentral is "partial small subunit ribosomal RNA". The record is from RNAcentral. Lineage: Eukaryota; Viridiplantae; Streptophyta; Magnoliopsida; Poales; Poaceae.
AGAAUAGGUCUUCGCGCUCCGACCCGAGCAGCCGCUGGCAGUGCGGAGGGGAGGCCGGCCGAGAGAGUCGGAGAGGAGGCGGAGGCCGGGAGAGCCGGAGAGGAGGCGGAGGCCGGAGGAGCCGGGGGGACAUGGAGAGCCGGAGAGGAGGCGGAGGUUCGAGGAGCCGGGGGGAUAACCGCGGGUCGCGGGAGGUGCGACGACAGCCGCGGAGGUGAGAGGCAAGGAGAAGCAACGCGCGUGCCUCCCCUUCUUCGUCUCCACCCAGCUGCAAGACGACCCGGUGGAGUUCAAGGGCGAGAAGCUCCGCGACGAGCUCGUCUCGUCGUCGUGCGCGGAGCCUACCGUCCCCGCCGGCGGUACCCCCUUCCUGUACGACGCCCGCGACCGCCGAUGGCGCGGGGCCUCCACCACCUGUGCGCCGCCGUGAGGGACCCGCGCGAGGACGAGGUAGGGGGCAGGCCACGGCAGCGGCCACUACGUGUACGGCGUCACGCGCGGCCACUUACACGGUCCCCGCGCCUACGCCGCUGGCUGCCAGCUCCGCAAGCGCUCACUUCGCCUACUCCUGCUGAUGCUGCACCUCUACUACAGCGGCGUCCUCUACCACCGCGCGAGCGGCCGCACCCUCGGCGGGUACUGCUGGAAGACCCACGACCUCGGACCUCCCGCGACCUGUGUGCGAGUUCCCCUCCCUGGAGGCGGUCCAUGCGUUACGGCACACCACCUUCUGGCCGGACGAGCUAACUAGGUAACGCAAACGUAAACCAUCGACGGAUGUCGAUAACUUAAACACACAAACUUAAUAAAACAUGUAAUGCGUACUAGUCCACCGAUGUGGAUACUUUAAACACAACAUAAUGAGUGGUAAUGCCGUAAUGAGAAUAAAUACUUGAUAGAUAAACUCGAGGGUCCUCUGUAACUUGAUAAACCAUACCUAAUUCUAUUAACACGAAAAUACCUACAAAGACACAAUUAAAUGGGGUUCUCUAUACUGAAUAGCUAGGAAUCAUACGAAUGUAAGGCUUUCAUACAUCAAAUUUGUAGCUUGCUACAUUUGAACCGUACAAAACUCUAUAACACCACAUCUAAUGAAACGUGACGUGGAUACCUCAACCUAAGAAAUGACCUCGAACAAUUGAUGACGUCGAAGCAAACCAAUUCUGACUAUCAAAACGUCAAGGAGAACCGCUACACUAAGACGUUUCAUAGGUAACAAAUAGCAUAAACUCUGUGCGUAUCCUACACCUUUACCUAGUAACCACGUGAUAAUAAGUCCACAAUAUUUAAAAUGACGUGAACUACCACUACAAGUCAUAAGUCCCAGGCUCAAUUUAUACGAGACGCACGACGAAUCGACUUCCACACACGAGCUUAAAAGUAACACUACAAAUGGACCUAUUAAUUUAAUAAAAUCCUUCAAGUAUCAAAUUAGUAUUUUAAAUCUCAUGGUUCCAUGAUCUGAUACAGUCUCUACGUAUUAGUCCGUCACUGAUUAAAACCAGAUUUGGGUUCAAAUUUAUGACAAGUCUUAUAUCAGCUUGGGAUAGAAAAUACAUACGGUCUCGCAGUCUAGUUACCUCGACACUAAGUCCUAAAGGUUUUCUUUAACUCCCGAAUCGACAACUUUAUUAAGUUUGUUUGUCUUUUAAUACGAAUUACCCCGAGGUACUAGGGGGUGAAGAAAGAUAAUAAUUCCUUGUAAACAAUGGAAAGGGUCGACAUACUUGAUCUCUAACCAGCGCUCGUAUAGACUUUAGAACAGAACUACCUUUUGACCGUUACUACACAACUCCUAGAAGAAGUAUGAUGAUGAUAUGGCCUCAACAGACAGAUAAGGUAUAGUAUACCGGGUUGGUUAUCUCGUAGACUCGUUGCCCUUAGGUGGGACGACACCGCGCUCCACUACAAGAAGAAUCACCGCCGAACUAAGAAGGGUCCUUAAAAAAAAGAUCGGAACCGCGUCACCAUUUCGACGACGGAACACUGGUACUCCAGUACCCAAGUUCAGGACCUUUGUCGGAGAAUGUCUUUACAUCCCUUUCCGACGCAUGAUAUCUGGGUUUCACCAGCCUGGGAAGGGACCUGGGACGCGUUCGCCCUCGAUGUACGUGGUCCAACGGGAAAAAAAAAAUGGCAUGGAGAAGUAUUGUUUUAGACUGACGGAUUCUUAAGGGGUUAAACGAUGUCAAAAAACCACCUUCUAACCUCACUCGAAAAGAAGUCUUUAAUAUGAAACUAGGAUAGGUUAGAAUGACACUAUCAUUCUAUAAGGGGAAAAUAAAUAUUGUACUAAUGAGGACGUCCGACUACGAGCCAAGUCAAACAACAAAACAAAGACCCGUUGUAAAAGGCUUACCACUGUGUCGCUCGAGGUAACUACAACAAAGUAAACUAAAAGAAUUCUAUAAUCAUAAUGUGUGUUCAGACUACCUAAGUUCUCUUACUUCUCAUUUCUUAUGAUAUGAUAUUUAUGCAGUUGAUGUCUUCAUGUCUAUUGGGAGGGUUGAUGUUAUAACGUGGACUGUCGGAGGAUGAGCUGCUCCGGUUCGAUAGACGUCCCCCGGUACGGGGACCUGCAAGGAUUCUCCGGAGGGGUGUGAUGUUACAUCGUGUGACGUCGUCAUAGGAGGAGCUACGGCGGUUCGCUAGACGUCCCCUUUGUGGUACGGCUACCUGCAAGGAUUCCCACUCGAUUUGUUAUUACCUUCUUUUUUCUCAUGUACGAAAUGUAUUACAUGGAUGUCGUUGUUACCCAACCGGGUGGUUUGUAGUAGUCUCCUGACUCUUCCUUUUGCUACUAAAGAAUUAGUCCAAGAUAACCGGCAACAUCGUAAUCGUACUACUUCUAAGACCUUGUCACGUGCUGUACGGGUUUGGGUUCAGAAGGGAAUCGGCCACUUCGUGGACUCAGCGGCAGCUCGUUAUAGGAGACUUAUGAUAAAAGUCCAUACGUUAGUAUACUCGACGUGGUCCCUCGAAGUACGUGCCGCCAUGAUGAAGGGUGUUUUGGAUAAUAUUUAUCACACGAUCGAUGGUCCUGACACGUCUAUGUACCUUCUCGAAACACGUUUUUUAAUCCUCUUUCUAUUUGUAUUCUCUGUAAAGUCGUUCAAAUGAGUACCUCCGUUUUUUAUUAAGAUGAAUAGUAACAUUAUGCUCAACAUUAUUUGCUCUUUUCUGCACACCAUAAUAAAUAAAAGAGGGCAACGUUGCGUGCCCGUAAACCGUACCUAACUGAGGUACCCAAGUGGCAGUGUUAUGCGAAGAAGGG